GACUCUCGACAAUGGAUAUCUCAGCCCUGGCAUCGAUGAAGAACGUAGAGAAAUAUAAUACUUUGUGUGAAUUGUAGAAUCCCGUGAACCAUCGAGUCUUUGAAAGCAAGUUACGCCCUUGGCCAUCGGGCACGCCUGCCUGGGCGUCA
This is a ribosomal RNA of Macadamia integrifolia, 149 nucleotides long. RefSeq annotates it as 5.8S ribosomal RNA. The transcript has a single exon. The record is from RefSeq and is a predicted model, not a curated record. Lineage: Eukaryota; Viridiplantae; Streptophyta; Magnoliopsida; Proteales; Proteaceae.